This is a long non-coding RNA of Aptenodytes forsteri (emperor penguin), 1259 nucleotides long. RefSeq lists it as uncharacterized. The record is from RefSeq and is a predicted model, not a curated record. The transcript is spliced from 2 exons. NCBI's taxonomy places the organism in Eukaryota, Metazoa, Chordata, Aves, Sphenisciformes, Spheniscidae.
UUUGGAAUUACAGCAUGUCAACGUGAGAAAGCCUCUUCAGACGGCUGCCACAAAGAGUAAAUCAAAGGCUGGGUUUUUCUGAAGUCUUAAUAAAUAACUAAGUGUAACUGAAUAAAACCAGGAGCUGUUCGUAUUUUUUUUUUUAAAGGCAAAACCAAACAGCAUGCAUUUCAUUGCUCUGCAUCAUCUAAGGAAAAAAAUCCUCAAUUUUAAUGAGAAUUAGUCAACAGUGAGGAUCAUUACCAGAAAGGGUUUUACUGUUUUUCAACUACACUUGCUUCAGUGGAUUACUGAGAGAGAAGGCCAGUCAUUUGGAAGGUUCUGUAACAUUAUUAUCCUCACCGAUAAACUUCUUCAUCAAGGAACUGUUCAUGCUCCUAUCUGGUCUGUCUGAACGAGGAGAGCAGCCCCUUCAUGAAGAUAAAAGCCUGGUUUGCCACUGAAUCGACAAGCAAGAAGCAUGUCUGAUGACAUUUUAUUCCUGAUGCAAUGUAGGCUAGCUGCCAGAAUAUUGGUGAAGGUAUUUGCAGGAAAAAUGGGGACCUCUGCCAUCAGAACACUGGAAGAUGUAAAAAGGCAAGAGGAGAAAGAGGAAAAAGAAGAAUCUAUUUUAGCACUGCUUGGGAUUAUUGGAACUGUACUCAAUUUAUUUGUUAUUGUUUUUGUGUACAUCUACACUACACUUUGACGACAUUUUUGAACAUCAAUUGCACAGCACACAGUGCAAAGACCAGCGAUGGUAAGAAUGAUUUCUAAAUUUAAAGCAAAAGAAAACAUUGUCUGAAAAGAUUAUCAAAAACAUUCCAGGGCAAAGUGUCUGGCUAAGGGCGCCGCAUCAAGGACUGCUAAAUCUAUCUGCGAGCCCAGCUAGGGUGCUAAAUUACGUAAACGAAGGCAGAGGAUAUUCAACUUCUCAUUCAUAACAGAUGAAAUUCAAAUAGCAGAAAGAGAGAUGGCAUUGUUUUAUUGCCAGCAAACAUGCAAGACACAAGAAAUGUAAGCAAACACUGAAAACAAUCAAGAACAUAGAAAGAGAUUAAUUAAAUAUAGAAAUACAUAUAAAGCAAGCCCCAUGACGCUUUCUAUGGCUUUGUGCAAUAUGUCUCUUCAUAGCUGAGACCAGAAAACAGACAAAAGGGUUUUAUUUUUAGAUCACUGUAAUUUAGGCUUGUAACUUACACUAAUGUAUAAGUGUGGAAACAGGAACACUGUUAUACCAAAAAUUGUAAUAUUAUAAAUAAAAUUUUAACUAUUGACUA